Molecule: ribosomal RNA, 857 nt
Filed under: uncultured bacterium
Lineage: Bacteria
Description: bacterial SSU rRNA
Rfam family: Bacterial small subunit ribosomal RNA
Source: RNAcentral
GCAGUCGAGGGGCAGCGCAGGUAGCAAUACUGGGCGGCGACCGGCAAACGGGUGCGGAACACGUACGUAACCUUCCUUUAAGUGGGAGAUAGCCCGAAGAAAUUCGGAUUAAUACCCCAUAAGAUUGUGGAGUGGCAUCACUCAGCAAUUAAAGAAAUUCGCUUAAAGAUGGGCGUGCGGCUGAUUAGGUAGUUGGUGAGGUAACGGCUCACCAAGCCAGCGAUCAGUAACUGGCGUGAGAGCGCGACCAGUCACACGGGCACUGAGACACGGGCCCGACUCCUAGGGGAGGCAGCAGUAAGGAAUAUUGGUCAAUGGACGCAAGUCUGAACCAGCCAUGCCGCGUGAAGGAUGAAGGUCCUCUGGAUUGUAAACUUCUUUUAUAUGGGAAGAAACCACUUUUUUCUAAAGGUGUUGACGGUACCAUAGGAAUAAGCACCGGCUAACUCCGUGCCAGCAGCCGCGGUAAUACGGAGGGUGCAAGCGUUAUCCGGAUUCACUGGGUUUAAAGGGUGCGUAGGCGGAUUAGUAAGUCCGUGGUGAAAUCUCCGAGCUUAACUCGGAAACUGCCGUGGAUACUAUUAAUCUUGAAUACUGUGGAGGUUAGCGGAAUAUGUCAUGUAGCGGUGAAAUGCAUAGAUAUGACAUAGAACACCAAUUGCGAAGGCAGCUGGCUACACAGAGAUUGACGCUGAGGCACGAAAGCGUGGGGAUCAAACAGGAUUAGAUACCCUGGUAGUCCACGCCCUAAACGAUGAUUACUCGACAUUUGCGAUAUACAGUAAGUGUCUGAGCGAAACAUUAAGUAAUCCACCUGGGAAGUACGACCGCAAGGUUGAAACUCAAAGGAAUUGACG